Molecule: ribosomal RNA, 256 nt
Filed under: uncultured bacterium
Lineage: Bacteria
Description: partial 16S ribosomal RNA
Rfam family: Bacterial small subunit ribosomal RNA
Source: RNAcentral
GACGUAGGUGGCGAACGUUAUCCGGAAUUAUUGGGCGUAAAGGGUGCGUAGAUGGUCUGACAAGUUAACAGUGGUAAAUCGAGGCUCAACCUCGUGGAAACUGAUAAUACUGUCUGGCUCGAGUACAGAAGAGGUUAACGGAAUUCCAUGUGGAGCGGUAAAAUGCAUAGAUAUAUGGAAGAACACCAAUAACGGCGAAGGCAGUUAACUAUUCUGUUACUGACAGUGAGGCACGAAAGCGUGGGGAGCAAAACGG